GCUUACGGCCAUACCACCCUGAACACGCCCAAUCUCGUCUGAUCUCGGAAGCUAAGCAGGGUCGGGCCCGGUCAGUACUUGGAUGGGAGACCGCCUGGGAAUACCAGGUGCUGUAAGCU
This 119-nucleotide ribosomal RNA is filed under the name Maylandia zebra (zebra mbuna). Lineage: Eukaryota; Metazoa; Chordata; Actinopteri; Cichliformes; Cichlidae. The record is from RNAcentral.